RNAcentral lists this ribosomal RNA (460 nucleotides) under uncultured bacterium. RNAcentral's name for it is "partial 16S ribosomal RNA". It matches the Rfam family "Bacterial small subunit ribosomal RNA", at positions 338 to 795 of the family's 1533-position model. The record is from RNAcentral.
CCUACGGGAGGCAGCAGUGAGGAAUAUUGGUCAAUGGGCGCGAGCCUGAACCAGCCAAGCCGCGUGAGGGAAGAAGGUCCUGCGGAUUGUAAACCUCUUUUGUAAGGGAAUAAAGGCGGGCACUUGUCCCUUUAUGUAUGUACUUUAUGAAAAAGCAUCGGCUAACUCCGUGCCAGCAGCCGCGGUAAUACGGAGGAUCCGAGCGUUAUCCGGAUUUAUUGGGUUUAAAGGGAGCGUAGACGGGUUGUUAAGUCAGUUGUGAAAGGUUGCGGCUCAACCGUAAAAGUGCAAUGGAUACUGGCAGCCUGGAGUACAGUUGAGGUAGGCGGAAUUCGUGGUGUAGCGGUGAAAUGCUUAGAUAUCACGAAGAACUCCGAUUGCGAAGGCAGCCUACUAGCCUGACACUGACGUUGAGGCUCGAAAGUGUGGGUAUCAAACAGGAUUAGAUACCCGUGUAGUC